Molecule: ribosomal RNA, 385 nt
Filed under: uncultured Pandoraea sp.
Lineage: Bacteria; Pseudomonadati; Pseudomonadota; Betaproteobacteria; Burkholderiales; Burkholderiaceae
Description: bacterial SSU rRNA
Rfam family: Bacterial small subunit ribosomal RNA
Source: RNAcentral
AUUGAACGCUGGCGGCAUGCCUUACGCAUGCAAGUCGAACGGCAGCACGGGUGCUUGCACCUGGUGGCGAGUGGCGGAACGGGUGAGUAAUACAUCGGAAUGUACCUUGUAGUGGGGGAUAGCUCGGCGAAAGCCGGAUUAAUACCGCAUACGCUCUGAGGAGGAAAGCGGGGGACCUUCGGGCCUCGUGCUACAAGAGCAGCCGAUGUCAGAUUAGCUUGUUGGUGAGGUAAAAGCUCACCAAGGCGACGAUCUGUAGCUGGUCUGAGAGGACGACCAGCCACACUGGGACUGAGACACGGCCCAGACUCCUACGGGAGGCAGCAGUGGGGAAUUUUGGACAAUGGGCGAAAGCCUGAUCCAGCAAUGCCGCGUGUGUGAAGAA